GUGCUCGUUGUGGCAGCACAUACAGUAAAAUUGGAACGAUACAGAGAAGAUUAGCAUGGCCCCUGCACAAAGAUGACACACAAAUUCGUGAAGCAUUCCAUAUUUUU
Delphinapterus leucas (beluga whale) is the source of this 107-nucleotide small nuclear RNA. The record is from Ensembl. Lineage: Eukaryota; Metazoa; Chordata; Mammalia; Artiodactyla; Monodontidae.